Molecule: ribosomal RNA, 466 nt
Filed under: uncultured bacterium
Lineage: Bacteria
Description: bacterial SSU rRNA
Rfam family: Bacterial small subunit ribosomal RNA
Source: RNAcentral
UAGGGAAUAUUGGACAAUGGGUGAGAGCCUGAUCCAGCCAUGCCGCGUGCAGGAAGAAGGCGUUAUGCGUUGUAAACUGCUUUUGCCAGGGGAUAAAAUGACCGUGCGCGGUUAAUUGAAGGUACCUGGUGAAUAAGCCACGGCUAACUACGUGCCAGCAGCCGCGGUAAUACGUAGGUGGCAAGCGUUGUCCGGAUUUAUUGGGUUUAAAGGGUGCGUAGGUGGCCCUGUAAGUCAGUGGUGAAAUAUCUCAGCUUAACUGAGAGGGUGCCAUUGAUACUGCAGGGCUUGAGUACAGAUGAGGUAGGCGGAAUUGACGGUGUAGCGGUGAAAUGCAUAGAUAUCGGAAGGAACAUCAGUUGCGAAGGCGGCUCUCUGGACUCAAACUGACGCUGAGGCACGAAAGCGUGGGUAGCGAACAGGAUUAGAUACCCCAGUAGUCCCUGAGCGGGCUGGCAAGGCGCAU